Molecule: long non-coding RNA, 2199 nt
Organism: Asparagus officinalis (garden asparagus)
Lineage: Eukaryota; Viridiplantae; Streptophyta; Magnoliopsida; Asparagales; Asparagaceae
Exons: 2
Source: RefSeq, a predicted model, not a curated record
UAUAAUUAAUUUGGGUCAUACUUCAUGUGUGGUUUUCUUGAGUUUUGAGUUGUUCAAACGUGCACUGUGAAAAUAAUGUUUACUUUUAUGUGAUCUAGAGAGUGUAUGAAAACCCAUAUGAAAAUUUCUUGUUUGUGUAUAAUUUGGGUCAUAUUUUGUGUGGGCUUCUUGAAUUUUGAGUUUUUAGAGCAUGAACUUGAAAUAUUGUUUACUUUCAUGUGAUCUCGAGAUUGUAUGAAAACCCAUAUGGGCUUCUUGAGAACUUAUAGACUUCAGUUUCUUGGAUAAUAUUUGGGUUUUAGCUUAUGAUGUGAACUUUUGAAUUGCAUUCGGUAGGUGCUUUUAUGUAUGGAGAGCAUAUGAAGACCAAGCCCUCCACGUGGGGUUCUUGGUACAUUAAUUCAUUAGGUUCUUGAAGUGUUAAUUCCUUUAAUUUGUUAUAAUGAGAGUUUUAAAUUGUUUCCGGUUGGCAAAAAGAGUUCUGCUGUUUGAACCAAUGGAGGACGAGCCUUUCGGAUGGUUAGAGGCAGAUAUCGAAAAAAUUCGCACAGGGAAUACUCGUGUCGUCAUUUUGCUAGUCGGUACUAAAGCCGAUGACAAUAUUGAUACUAUAGGCGGACGUGCGAUCGAGUUUGUUGAACAUCUCGGACUGCUGCCUUGCAAUUAUCACAGCUCGGCUGAGCAGAUGAUUAACAUAAGACAACCCUUUGAAGAAUUGGUCCGAGGAAUCUUGCACACGUUUGGGUCGCCAGAAUCUUGGUUUACCAUGUAAGUACUUAUUUUUAAAGUUGGGUUUAUUCAAUAUUGAUCCCUGCUUUUGAGAGAUCACCACGUCAUGAGUUAAUUAGAUCCUGUCCGAUUAAAAAAAUUAAUUGUAUUGUUUUUUACGAGAAAUUUGAAACUCGGGAGCAGGAGGCAGAAGAUUACGAGCACCAGACUCCUCCCCCAAAGAAUCGAAAAUCAAGAAGAAUGACGAUCGACAUCUCCGUCAUUGGCCCACGUGGCGUUAGGAAGACAGUGUUGAUUCGUAUAUUUUGUCACCUCGUGGGGGCCAAAUUCCCUAGCUCUAAGCCCCAUCGAGGUCAUCUCUCAACUCGAGUUAAUUUUGAGUUGGAUGGGGUUGGUGUUUCAUUGAACAUAUGGGAUGGGUACAGCAGUGGCUUGGCGGUAAGUCUAAAUUUAAUUGGAUCAUAUCUUUUAUUUAUGGACUUCUUGAAUUUUGUGUUUUUGGAACAUAAACUUUGAAUACUGUUUACUUUUAUGUGAUCUAAAGACUGUAUGAAAACCCAUGUUAAAAUUUCUUGUUUGUGUAUAAUUAAUUUAGGUCAUACUUCAUGUGCGGUUUUCUUGAGUUUUGAGUUGUUCGAACAUGAACUGUGAAAAUAAUGUUUACAUUUAUGUGAUCUAGAGACUGUAUGAAAACCCAUAUGAAAAUUUCUUGUUUGUGUAUAAUUUGGGUCAUAUUUUAUGUGUGGGCUUUUUGAAUUUUGAGUUUUUGGAGCAUGAACUGUGAAAAUAUUGUUUACUUUCAUGUGAUCACGAGAUUGUAUGAAAACCCAUAUGGGCUUCUUGAGAAAUUACAGGCUUCAGUUUCUUGGAUAAUAUUUGUGUUUUCGCUUAUGAUGUGAAAUUUUGAAUUGCGUUCGGUGAGUGCUUUUAUGUAUGGAGAGUGUAUGAAGACCAAGCCCUCCUCAUGGGGUUCUUGAUACAUUAAUUCAUUAGGUCCUUGAAGUGUUAGUUCAUUUAAUUUGUUAUAAUGUGAGUUUUAAAAUGUUUUCAGUUGGAAAAAGGAGUUCCUCUGCUGUUUGAUCCAUUGGAGGACAAGCCUUUCGGAUGGUUAGAGGUAGAGAUCGGAAAAUUUCACACAAGGAAUACUCGUGUCAUCAUUUUGCUAGUCGGUACUAAAGCGGAUGACAAUAUCGAUACCCUCGACGGACGUGCGAUCGCGUUUGAUGAAUGUAUCGGAAUUCUGCCUUGCUAUUAUCACACCUCGGCCGAGCAGAUGAUUAACAUAAGACAACCCUUUGAAGAAUUGGUCCAAGGAAUCUUGAACACGCUUGGGUCGCCAGAAUCAUGGUUUACCAUGUAAGUACUAGUUUUUUAAGUUGGGUUUAUUCGAUAUUGAUCACUACUUUUGAGAGAUCACCGCGUCACAAGUUAAUUAGAUCCUAUCCAAUUAAAAAAAAUCAACUGUAAUGU